Molecule: ribosomal RNA, 300 nt
Filed under: Triticum aestivum (bread wheat)
Lineage: Eukaryota; Viridiplantae; Streptophyta; Magnoliopsida; Poales; Poaceae
Description: partial small subunit ribosomal RNA
Source: RNAcentral
AUGCAUGCAGAAAAUUGGGUGUGGCUGCUCGGUAAAGCUGGAGUCGAGAAUACUAGAUCCUAUCGAUGUGAGUGUCCUGUGUCGAUAAGAUUGCCUAGAACAGAGGGCAAUGGAUGGUACAGCUCUGAACACAGGGAGAAGCACAAUCACUCGCUGUUGCCGAAUUUUGGAGAGACGAUUCACUGGUCAUCUCACAAAGCACAUCUAUGUGUUUUCCCGAGACCUGAUCAAGCAAUCGAGACAGAACAACGUCAACCUUGCCAAGGUGUACAUCGUUAUCAGGAGUCUUUUUUGGAUUAA